UUGCGCGCGGGCCGGCGGCGGGCGGGCCUGGCCGGGGCCUGGCCGGCCUCGCCGUCCGGCUCGGGGCGGCGCCGGGCGUCCGGCAGCGCCUCACGCCAC
RNAcentral lists this transfer RNA (99 nucleotides) under Streptomyces griseus. Its description in RNAcentral is "tRNA-Arg(cct)". The record is from RNAcentral. Lineage: Bacteria; Bacillati; Actinomycetota; Actinomycetes; Kitasatosporales; Streptomycetaceae. RNAcentral also lists the same sequence under 4 other names.